CCUACGGGAGGCAGCAGUGAGGAAUAUUGGUCAAUGGACGAGAGUCUGAACCAGCCAAGUAGCGUGAAGGAUGACUGCCCUAUGGGUUGUAAACUUCUUUUAUAUGGGAAUAAAACGUUCCACGUGUGGGAUUUUGUAUGUACCAUAUGAAUAAGGAUCGGCUACUCCGUGCCAGCAGCCGCGGUAAUACGGAGGAUCCGAGCGUUAUCCGGAUUUAUUGGGUUUAAAGGGAGCGUAGGUGGAUUGUUAAGUCAGUUGUGAAAGUUUGCGGGUCAACCGUAAAAUUGCAGUUGAAACUGGCAGUCUUGAGUACAGUAGAGGUGGGCGGAAUUCGUGGUGUAGCGGUGAAAUGCUUAGAUAUCACGAAGAACUCCGAUUGCGAAGGCAGUUCACUGGACUGCAACUGACACUGAGGCUCGAAAGUGUGGGUAUCAAACAGGAUUAGAUACCCUUGUAGUC
Molecule: ribosomal RNA, 459 nt
Filed under: uncultured bacterium
Lineage: Bacteria
Description: partial 16S ribosomal RNA
Rfam family: Bacterial small subunit ribosomal RNA
Source: RNAcentral